UUGCAGUUAAAAAGCUCGUAGUUGGAUUUCGGACUGGUGCAGUUUGGUCUGCCGCAAGGUGUGUUACUGAACUGUGCUGUCUUCUUCUCAGAGUCCUGCUGUGCACUUGAUUGUGUGCAGUAUUUUGGAAUUUGAGACGUUUACUUUGAAAAAAUUAGAGUGUUCAAAGCAGGCCUUGUUAUGCCCGAAUACAUGAGCAUGGAAUAAUGGAACAGGACUACGGUCUUAUUUUGUUGGUUUCUGAGACCGAAGUAAUGAUUAAGAGGGACAAUUGGGGGCAUCCGUAUUUCGUUGUCAGAGGUGAAAUUCUUGGAUUUACGAAAGACGAACAACUGCGAAAGCAUUUGCCAAGAGUGUUUUCAUUAAUCAAGAACGAAAGUUAGAGGAUCGAAGACGAUCAGAUACCGUCCUAGUUCUAACCAUAAACGAUGUCGACUAGGGAUUGGCGGGCGUUACUUUCAUUACGACCUCGUCAGCACCUUACGGGAAACCAAAGUCUUUGGAUUCCGGGGGAAGUAUGGUU
Molecule: ribosomal RNA, 523 nt
Filed under: uncultured marine eukaryote
Lineage: Eukaryota
Description: SSU rRNA
Rfam family: Eukaryotic small subunit ribosomal RNA
Source: RNAcentral